GACGAACGCUGGCGGCGUGCCUAAUACAUGCAAGUGGGACGCAAGGGAACACACUGUGCUUGCACACCGUGUUUUCUUGAGUCGCGAACGGGUGAGUAACGCGUAGGUAACCUGCCUAUUAGCGGGGGAUAACUAUUGGAAACGAUAGCUAAUACCGCAUAAUAUUAAUUAUUGCAUGAUAAUUGAUUGAAAGAUGCAAGCGCAUCACUAGUAGAUGGACCUGCGUUGUAUUAGCUAGUUGGUAAGGUAAGAGCUUACCAAGGCGACGAUACAUAGCCGACCUGAGAGGGUGAUCGGCCACACUGGGACUGAGACACGGCCCAGACUCCUACGGGAGGCAGCAGUAGGGAAUCUUCGGCAAUGGACGAAAGUCUGACCGAGCAACGCCGCGUGAGUGAAGAAGGUUUUCGGAUCGUAAAGCUCUGUUGUAAGUCAAGAACGUGUGUGAGAGUGGAAAGUUCACACAGUGACGGUAGCUUACCAGAAAGGGACGGCUAACUACGUGCCAGCAGCCGCGGUAAUACGUAGGUCCCGAGCGUUGUCCGGAUUUAUUGGGCGUAAAGGGAGCGCAGGCGGUCAGGAAAGUCUGGAGUAAAAGGCUAUGGCUCAACCAUAGUGUGCUCUGGAAACUGUCUGACUUGAGUGCAGAAGGGGAGAGUGGAAUUCCAUGUGUAGCGGUGAAAUGCGUAGAUAUAUGGAGGAACACCAGUGGCGAAAGCGGCUCUCUGGUCUGUCACUGACGCUGAGGCUCGAAAGCGUGGGUAGCGAACAGGAUUAGAUACCCUGGUAGUCCACGCCGUAAACGAUGAGUGCUAGGUGUUAGGCCCUUUCCGGGGCUUAGUGCCGGAGCUAACGCAAUAAGCACUCCGCCUGGGGAGUACGACCGCAAGGUUGAAACUCAAAGGAAUUGACGGGGGCCCGCACAAGCGGUGGAGCAUGUGGUUUAAUUCGAAGCAACGCGAAGAACCUUACCAGGUCUUGACAUCCCGAUGCUAUUCUUAGAGAUAGGAAGUUACUUCGGUACAUCGGAGACAGGUGGUGCAUGGUUGUCGUCAGCUCGUGUCGUGAGAUGUUGGGUUAAGUCCCGCAACGAGCGCAACCCUUAUUGUUAGUUGCCAUCAUUAAGUUGGGCACU
This 1135-nucleotide ribosomal RNA is filed under the name Streptococcus mutans. RNAcentral describes it as "bacterial SSU rRNA". It matches the Rfam family "Bacterial small subunit ribosomal RNA", at positions 28 to 1139 of the family's 1533-position model. The record is from RNAcentral. Lineage: Bacteria; Bacillati; Bacillota; Bacilli; Lactobacillales; Streptococcaceae.